GGACCCGCACAAGCGGUGGAGCAUGUGGUUUAAUUCGAUGCAACGCGAAAAACCUUACCUACACUUGACAUACUUGGAAUCUUUUGUAAUGAAAGAGUGCCUUUUGGAGCCAAGAUACAGGUGCUGCAUGGCUGUCGUCAGCUCGUGUCGUGAGAUGUUGGGUUAAGUCCCAUAACGAGCGCAACCCUUACCCUUAUUUGCCAGCGAUUCGGUCGGGAACUAUAAGGGGACUGCCGGUGAUAAACCGGAGGAAGGUGAGGACGACGUCAAGUCAUCAUGGCCCUUACGUGUAGGGCUACACACGUGCUACAAUGGGGAGUACAGAUAGACGCUAAAGCGCGAGCUGGUGCUAAUCUCAUAAAACUCUUCGUAGUCCGGAUUGCAGUCUGCAACUCGACUGCAUGAAGUCGGAAUCGCUAGUAAUCG
This 426-nucleotide ribosomal RNA is filed under the name uncultured bacterium. RNAcentral's name for it is "bacterial SSU rRNA". It matches the Rfam family "Bacterial small subunit ribosomal RNA", at positions 917 to 1344 of the family's 1533-position model. The record is from RNAcentral.